This is a long non-coding RNA of Centrocercus urophasianus (Greater sage-grouse), 2053 nucleotides long. RefSeq lists it as uncharacterized. The transcript has 5 exons. Lineage: Eukaryota; Metazoa; Chordata; Aves; Galliformes; Phasianidae. The record is from RefSeq and is a predicted model, not a curated record.
GUAUGCCAUUCCUCCCAGAAGUCAGGCCGCGGCUCACAAUGACAAAGAAGAGCAGUCCCAGCCUCUGCACUACUUCUGGCUUCAUUUCCACAUCAGCAGAAAGGGCUUCCCCAGAUGUGAGCAGUCAUAGAGGGGACAUUGCUUACGGCUCUCGGGUGGCUGGCCAGGCUGACUAAGCACGCUUACCGAUCCCGCACACUGUUUAGAAUCACAAUGAGCUGGAAACUGCGUGCCAAGACGUGAGCGAUCCAGGGAGCAGUUACUCAUUUUUAAGCCAGCAGUAUGAACUAUCCCAUGAGCAAUUGCAGCUCCAUUAUCAGCUCCCAAAUAAUCCACCUCUGAUGCAGUGGUUCUGACUUCCUAGCGACCGCCUGUCUAGAAAUAUUUGUGAAAGCAGCUCUCUGCACAAACAUACCUUCAGGAUCCAAUCUGAGGGGUUCUACAAAGUGAGGAAACAUCUUCAAGAAUCAACCUACAUUGUCAUAUUUUUUGCAAAGGAGUUUAUCACAGCUAUGCGGGUAUUAGACAGUGCCAACAUCUCCCUCACUGAAUCUGGGAUCGUAAAAAGUCUCUGAUUUCUGUCUACAUAUUGUCUUAGCAAGGAAAGAAAAUGUUUUCUUGAAACUUGGCUGAAUAUUGAAUGAGCUUUAAUCACUGGGAUGCAGAAGACAGUUACUGAGGUUAUGGUUGCACACAAAAUUGCAGUGAUUGAAAUGAAGAUUGGAAACUGUUAGAAUUGUUCAAGCCUGUAUCUGUCUCAGAUCAGGUUCCAUAUACCCUUCUUCAUAGGUAAGAGGUAACACGUCUUGAUUCUUACACAGUUUUCACACCGUUCCACAUGAUGGUGUGGCCCCUUAGCAAACAAAGAAAUACAGUUAAGAUGAAAUCCUCAAAAAGUAGGUGCAUGACUCAUUACAAAGAUACCUUUGGAAACAUUUAUCAAUUGUUCCUUGUCAUUCGGAGAGGAAUUUUCAAACGGGCUUCUCCCAACAUCUGUGUGGAAUCCAUUUUAUGCAGUAUUUUCAUUAACAACCUGUGACAAGGGAAUAAAGAGUACUCAUAAAAUCUGCAGACAUCAUCUAGCUGGGAGAGGAUGCAAACAGUUUGGCGGAUGGACUGAGAAUUCAAAAUGAUCUCGCUAAAUUGGAGAAAAUCAGCGACUCAGUAAAGAAAAGUACAAAGUGCUACACUUAAGAGAAGGAAAUCAAAAGCACAAAGAGAAAAUGGGGAAUAAACGGCCAGACAGCAGCACGGCAGAAAGGCAGCUCAGGGUGUGAGCCAUGGACUGAAUAGGAGUCAACAGUACGACGCUGUUCCAAAAAAAGGCAAAGCUAAUGCUGGCUGUUGGGCGUGUGACACAUCAGGUAACUGUUUUGCCCCUCCUCGCACAGGAAGGCUGUACACAAACUGAAGAUCUCAGAGCUGAGCAGCGAAUCUGAGAAGAGGUUUUGAAAGCGUGUUCUGUGAAGAAAGAUUCAGAAUUGCUUAAGAAAGGUGAGGCUACAGAAUAGUAUGGUCAUUGUUGGCUUAUCAAAAUGAAACUUUUUCUCGGACCACUGGGAGCAGGAUAAGAAGACAUUUCUGCUUCAGAUCAAGUACUCAAGUAAUGCAUGAAAACCACUGCCAUUUAGUUACAGUGUUGUUCAGCACGUUGUGACAAACUUCAUCGGGGAUAUCCUAGGUUUGCUCAGGCCUGCCAGCAGGCAGCUAAUGAAGGAUGAAGAUGGAAACAAGCCCAAGGCGUAUGUCCAGGGUGGCCACAAUUGAAUUGUGCCACCCCAGGAAUGAAGACAAAAUGAUUUAUUUUGUUACAAAGCCUGGAGAUGGCAAUAUUUAGUUUGACAGUGAGGGCAGAGCAACUUCCUUCUAUCAUCUACUAAAUUAGAGAGAAACCCUGUGGCAGCCGGUGCAAAAAGGCCAUGAAUUAAGUUCCCAGCCCCUUCUGAAGCUCCGUCUGAACAUCUUGGUGAGGAGAUCCCAGGAGGUUUCUGGGGAACAAUAAAAAGUGCCUAAGCUCUCACCAGUGCAGAGAGUCUCUGCUUUUAGUCUCUUG